Small nucleolar RNA from Notamacropus eugenii (tammar wallaby), 97 nucleotides. Its record names the gene SNORD14. It matches the Rfam family "Small nucleolar RNA SNORD14". Rfam says of the family: U14 small nucleolar RNA (U14 snoRNA) is required for early cleavages of eukaryotic precursor rRNAs. Lineage: Eukaryota; Metazoa; Chordata; Mammalia; Diprotodontia; Macropodidae. The record is from Ensembl.
UUGCUGUGAUGAAAGUGAUAGCAAAACCAUUCGUAGUUUCCACUAGAAGUUUAAAAACUAAUGUUGGUCCAAGUUCCUUCCUUGGCUGUCUGAGCGA